CCUACGGGUGGCAGCAGUCGAGAAUCAUUCACAAUGGGGGAAACCCUGAUGGUGCGACGCCGCGUGGGGGAAUGAAGGUCUUCGGAUUGUAAACCCCUGUCAUGUGGGAGCAAAUUAAAAAGAUAGUACCACAAGAGGAAGAGACGGCUAACUCUGUGGCAGCAGCCCGGGUAAUACAGAGGUCUCAAGCGUUGUUCGGAAACACUGGGCGUAAAGGGUGCGUAGGCUGUUUCGUAAGUCGUGUGUGAAAGGCGCGGGCUCAACCCGCGGACGGCACAAGAUACUGCGAGACUAGAGUAAGAGAGAGGGAAGCGGAAUUAUAGGUGUAGCAGUGAAAUGCGUAGAUAUAGAGAGGAACACUCGUGGCGAAGGCGGGUUCCUGGACAUUAACUGACGCUGAGGCACGAAGGCCAGGGGAGCGAAAGGGAUUAGAUACCCUGGUAGUC
RNAcentral lists this ribosomal RNA (446 nucleotides) under uncultured bacterium. RNAcentral describes it as "partial 16S ribosomal RNA". It matches the Rfam family "Bacterial small subunit ribosomal RNA", at positions 338 to 795 of the family's 1533-position model. The record is from RNAcentral.